GGCGAAGGCGGCCCCCUGGACGAAGACUGACGCUCAGGUGCGAAAGCGUGGGGAGCAAACAGGAUUAGAUACCCUGGUAGUCCACGCCGUAAACGAUGUCGACUUGGAGGUUGUGCCCUUGAGGCGUGGCUUCCGGAGCUAACGCGUUAAGUCGACCGCCUGGGGAGUACGGCCGCAAGGUUAAAACUCAAAUGAAUUGACGGGGGCCCGCACAAGCGGUGGAGCAUGUGGUUUAAU
Molecule: ribosomal RNA, 237 nt
Filed under: Xanthomonas citri pv. citri
Lineage: Bacteria; Pseudomonadati; Pseudomonadota; Gammaproteobacteria; Lysobacterales; Lysobacteraceae
Description: partial 16S ribosomal RNA
Rfam family: Bacterial small subunit ribosomal RNA
Source: RNAcentral